This 474-nucleotide ribosomal RNA is filed under the name uncultured bacterium. Its description in RNAcentral is "bacterial LSU rRNA". It matches the Rfam family "Bacterial large subunit ribosomal RNA", at positions 2356 to 2925 of the family's 2925-position model. The record is from RNAcentral.
GGCAUAAGCCAGCUUAACUGCGAGACCCACAAGUCGAGCAGAUGCGAAAGCAGGUCCUAGUGAUCCGGUGGUUCUGUAUGGAAGGGCCAUCGCUCAACGGAUAAAAGGUACUCUGGGGAUAACAGGCUGAUUCCGCCCAAGAGUUCACAUCGACGGCGGAGUUUGGCACCUCGAUGUCGGCUCAUCUCAUCCUGGGGCUGUAGCCGGUCCCAAGGGUAUGGCUGUUCGCCAUUUAAAGAGGUACGUGAGCUGGGUUCAAAACGUCGUGAGACAGUUUGGUCCCUAUCUGCCGUGGGCGCUGGAGAUUUGACGGGGGCUGCUCCUAGUACGAGAGGACCGGAGUGGACGCACCUCUGGUGUACCGGUUAUCACGCCAGUGGUAUCGCCGGUAGCUAAGUGCGGAAGAGAUAAACGCUGAAAGCAUCUAAGCGUGAAACUCGCCUGAAGAUGAGAUCUCCCGGAGGCUUGACCUCC